UACGGGACGCAGCAGUGGGGAAUUUUGACAAUGGGGAAACCCUGAUCCAGCCAUCCCGCGUGUGCGAUGAAGGCCUUCGGGUUGUAAAGCACUUUUGGCAGGAGAAGAAAAACGGCACGGGAUAAUACCUCGCGCAACUGACGGUACUGCAGAAUAAGCACCGGCUAACCAUGUGGCCAGCAGCCGCGGUAAUACGUAGGGUGCAAGCGUUAAUCGGAAUUACUGGGCGUAAAGCGUGCGCAGGCGGGUUCGGAAAGAAAGAUGUGAAAUCCCAGAGCUUAACUUUGGAACUGCAUUUUUAACUACCGAGCUGUGAGUGUGUCAGAGGGAGGUGGAAUUCCGCGUGUAGCAGUGAAAUGCGUAGAUAUGCGGAGGGACACUGAUGGCGAAGGCAGCCUCCUGGGAUAACACCAGACGCUCAUGCACGAAACUGCGGGGAGCAAACAGGAUUAGAUACCCCUGUAGU
RNAcentral lists this unclassified non-coding RNA (466 nucleotides) under uncultured Bordetella sp. RNAcentral's name for it is "partial 16S-23S ribosomal RNA intergenic spacer". It matches the Rfam family "Bacterial small subunit ribosomal RNA", at positions 340 to 794 of the family's 1533-position model. Lineage: Bacteria; Pseudomonadati; Pseudomonadota; Betaproteobacteria; Burkholderiales; Alcaligenaceae. The record is from RNAcentral.